Molecule: ribosomal RNA, 102 nt
Filed under: Cephalotus follicularis
Lineage: Eukaryota; Viridiplantae; Streptophyta; Magnoliopsida; Oxalidales; Cephalotaceae
Source: RNAcentral
GGGUACGAUCAUUCCAGCACUAAUGCACUGGAUUCGAUCAGAACUCCGCAGUUAAGCAUGCUUGGGCGAGAAUAGUUCUAAGAUGGGCAUGUCUUAUGACUU